RNAcentral lists this ribosomal RNA (253 nucleotides) under uncultured bacterium. RNAcentral describes it as "partial 16S ribosomal RNA". It matches the Rfam family "Bacterial small subunit ribosomal RNA", at positions 524 to 776 of the family's 1533-position model. The record is from RNAcentral.
GACCGAGGGUGCAAGCGUUGCUCGGAAUCACUGGGCGUAAAGGGCGUGUAGGCGGGAAGGCAAGUCAGAUGUGAAAUCCCUGGGCUCAACCCAGGAACUGCAUUUGAAACUCCCUUUCUUGAGUGUCGGAGAGGAAAGUGGAAUUCCUGGUGUAGAGGUGAAAUUCGUAGAUAUCAGGAGGAACACCGGUGGCGAAGGCGGCUUUCUGGACGACAACUGACGCUGAGACGCGAAAGCGUGGGGAGCAAACAGG